UCAAAUGAUCUGCCCGCUUUGGCCUUCCAAAGUUCUGGGAUUAUAGGAGUGAGCCACCAUGCCCAGCCUGUUCUUAAGUCUCCUAGAACAGGGAUUCUGAAACACAAAACUCAUCUGGUGAGAAGAAUGAGAGCAAGAGAGGUUAAAUGGGUCGUUCAAGUUCAUAAAGUACUGACAGAAGAUGACCCUGAACUGUUCUCACUAUAUUAAAAUUUACGCACUGAGAGCAUCUAAAGAAUUUGAAUGAGGAGCAAAGCUUUUUCAAAGGUUGGAUUAAACUACAAUUGUCCUCUCCAAAGAAUGUUCAGCUAUCCUUUAUGUACUCUGUUGCAAGUAUUUCAAGAAGGAGGUGAGAAUAUAUGAGGUUCACGUAGCAGCAAAGGAACUACAUGGUAGAAGAGGGCACCUUUUUUCCAACAUCUCUUUAUGCUAAUGUUGUACAUCUGCAAGAUGCAAGAAGAGGACAAGAGCCUAUUUUUGUAGCAUUCUUGAGUCAAGAGCUUCCAUGAAAAGCUUUAAGUAGCAACAAGCCUGCCAUUGAAAAAGAAAUAUUUGGUUUGGAAUUUGAGAUUGUUAAAAAUCAUUAUAGAAUGCAUGUUCUACUGUGAAAUAAACUGAUAAAUGAAUAGUAUGUUGGGGCAGCCCCUGAAAGGUCAUUUACACUACCUAGAUGCUUUAUAGUUAAGGAAAGUAGGUCCAGAGAGGGGAAAUGAUCUGACCAUGGUUUCAAAGUUAUUUAGUAAGAAAUAGAAUGAGGAGUAGUUCUCCUGACAUUUAGAUAAUAGGACCACCAUAGAAAGGUGGUUUUAUGAUUCCAUUAAGAUUUGGAUCAUUUUUUUCAAGGCUUUGAAAGUGAGUGGUAAAAUUUCUAUUUUCAUUAUCUCUGGAGCAGUAUACUAGAGUAUACCAGAUAUAUAAAAAAGCCUUUCAUCUAAAAGGUAAAUGAACAAAUUCCCCCCAAACCAAUGAAUAAUAUAUAAAAUGAAACUUCAGAAUACACCAUCAAAGUGGCAAGAAAAUAAGAAAUCUUAAGAGGAAUAAAAAACUUAAAAAGUUAAAGCAAGAAUCUAGGAAAUUAAGCUAGUAUAAUUUUAAGGCAAAAAUGAAAGAAAAUUAUAAAGGAUGGUAUACUAUUUAUUUAUGCUGAUCACUGAAUAGUCUCAACUCUCUGACUUCUUGGCCCAUAGUAAGAUUGUACUGCCUGGAUUCCCAUGUGACCAAUUCUGGCCAGUGUCUUGUGAGAGAAACUAAUGUGUCUCUCUGGCUUUGGGCUAAGCAUUUAAUUGUCAGUGAGAUCCUCCAGUGCUUGUUUUCUCUCUAGUAGGAUGAUUGACAAUAUUCCACAUAGCAUUUUCUUCCACAUUUUCUGGUAUAUCAUACCACGUGUGAUAU
RNAcentral lists this long non-coding RNA (1392 nucleotides) under Homo sapiens (human). RNAcentral describes it as "HSALNT0292672". The record is from RNAcentral. Lineage: Eukaryota; Metazoa; Chordata; Mammalia; Primates; Hominidae.